This is a long non-coding RNA of Passer domesticus (house sparrow), 1427 nucleotides long. RefSeq lists it as uncharacterized. The transcript has 2 exons. The record is from RefSeq and is a predicted model, not a curated record. Lineage: Eukaryota; Metazoa; Chordata; Aves; Passeriformes; Passeridae.
UUCAGUUAGGCAGACUGCAUAAUUUACUCUAGGAGCACGGGAAAUCCUUACAUUGGAGGCCCCUUUCUGGAGCUUGUGACCAUGCUGCUGUAUUGGGAGUUUUGGAUGCACAGUUCACACAGGUAUCACAGUGUGGACAUGGUGGAGGAAAAAGUACUCUACUCUCUUGGAAGAGAUCUGCCAUCAAGUGUAAGCCCAGUUUGAAUUCAAACAUGCUUAUAUGUGGGAUGAAUUUAGAUGCAAGUUAAAAAGACUGAUAAAAACACAGAUAUUUCAGGGCAUCAUUCUCUAAGCCAUAUGAAUGCUGCUGUUGUAGUCCUGAAGUGCAUCACUCACCCUUUGUCAAAAUGCAGUCCUGUCUCAAACAGAAAACAAAUGAAGAGCACAUGAUGAGGGAAAAUCUCCUACUUAGAGGGCACAGAUUUGUGUCAAAUCUGUAGUAGUCAUGCUUAAGUCAUGAGCUGCUUUCUUUUGCAUGCAUAAAUUAACAGUUGCUUGAGUGAAGGGACUUGUGAAGACCCUGCAAAAGCAGUACAGUAAAUUCAUCACACUUAUCCACGAAACAAUUGUGCCUGACUUCUGCUUUAUCCUGUGUUUAGCAAUUAGGAGCAGCUGUAAUCCUGAGGCUUUGCUAUCUGUGGAACAUCACUGCUUGCCUCUACACUCAUGAUAGGGCAUUAAUCUUUCCCAUCCUCUGAUUCCCACCACAGGAGGUUUAUUGGAAUUUCCUCAGCACUGGCUUUUGAAAUAUGCUUUCCUACUGCCACAAAAUCCUAGUUGUUUAGUGGAUAAGUUUCCCCAUCCCCUUAAUCUAAGUUUGCUCUAUCACAGGAGAGUUUGCCUUUGAAAACAAAACAACAGAAACCUUGGCAAAUACUUGUUAAAAAUGCCAAGGAACAAAGUCUGGAAAAACAUGAUUCAAACAAGAUCUAGUUCCAGUCUUUUCACUUUCUUGUGCAUCCUCUAAUGUGAACAUCACCUGAUAAGGACUUUUCCCCAGAUAUUUUGUUAUACAUUAUUUUAACUUGACUGUAUGGCUCCUGCAGGACAGAAUUGUUCUGGUUCUUGACUUUUUUUUCUCUCCCCCAAGGUGAUUUUCUAUAAAAGGACAUUUAUAAUCUGAUGGAAUUGACUUUAAGGGGAAAAGGACAGUAUUUUAGAAUAGUACAAAAAUCAUCAGAAGCAAGGAAACAAUUCUAAGUAACUUGUUUUCCCCCAUGGCAUGCUAGGUUGACUAGCUUUAUUUUUCUUCAGUUCUGUUUUAUCAGAUGGCUCUCAAAUAUAUAAUGUUUACUCAAAUGCAAGAUAUUUAUCAGUUAGAUUUUCCACUUGUCCAUUUAUCAGUGGCUAGGCUUGGUUUAUUUUUCUGUAAUGUGAAGUGAGUUGUUAAGCUUUUUCCUUAUUGUUAAUAAACCACUAGAAAAGGA